This 813-nucleotide ribosomal RNA is filed under the name uncultured bacterium. RNAcentral describes it as "bacterial SSU rRNA". It matches the Rfam family "Bacterial small subunit ribosomal RNA", at positions 8 to 796 of the family's 1533-position model. The record is from RNAcentral.
AGAGUUUGAUCCUGGCUCAGAGCGAACGCUGGCGGCGUACUUAACACAUGCAAGUCGUACGAGGAUCGUCGGGUUAGCAAUAAUUCGGCGGUUCGAGUGGCGCACGGGUGAGUAACACGUGGGUAACCCACCCUUGAGACCGGGAUACCCUCUCGAAAGGGAGGCUAAUACUGGAUACGUUCCCUGGGACGCAAGAUCUGGGGAGGAAAGGUGGCGAAAGCUGCCGCUCUUGGAGGGGCUCGCGGCCUAUCAGCUAGUUGGUGAGGUAACGGCUCACCAAGGCUAUGACGGGUAGCUGGUCUGAGAGGACGACCAGCCACACGGGAACUGAGACACGGUCCCGACUCCUACGGGAGGCAGCAGUGGGGAAUUUUCCGCAAUGGGCGAAAGCCUGACGGAGUGACGCCGCGUGGGGGACGAAGGCCUUCGGGUCGUAAACCCCUGUCAGAGGGAAAGAAGGGUGUCGGCGUGAAUAGCGCCGGCAUUUGACGGUACCUUCAGAGGAAGCCCCGGCCAACUCUGUGCCAGCAGCCGCGGUAAGACAGAGGGGGCAAGCGUUGCUCGGAAUCACUGGGCGUAAAGGGCGCGUAGGCGGGAUGGCAAGUCGGUCGUGAAAUCCUUCGGCUCAACCGAAGAACGUCGGCCGAUACUGCCGUUCUUGAGGGAUGCAGAGGAGAUUGGAAUUCCCGGUGUAGCGGUGAAAUGUGUAGAGAUCGGGAGGAACACCGGUGGCGAAGGCGGGUCUCUGGGCAUCUCCUGACGCUGAGGCGCGAAAGCGUGGGGAGCAAACGGGAUUAGAUACCCCCGUAGUCC